CCAUUGGAGGGCAAGUAUGGUGCCAGCAGCCGCGGUAAUUCCAGCUCCAAUAGCGUAUAUUAAAGUUGUUGCAGUUAAAAAGCUUGUAGUUGACCUUUGGGCUUGGUUGGCCGGUCCGCCUUUUUGGCGAGUACUGGACCCAACCGAGCCUUUCCUUCUGGCUAACCAUUCGCCCUUGUGGUGUUUGGCGAACCAGGACUUUUACUUUGAAAAAAUUAGAGUGUUCAAAGCAGCCCUUUGCUCGAAUAUAUUAGCAUGGAAUAAUAGAAUAGGACGUUAUGGUUCUAUUUUGUUGGUUUCUAGGACCAUCGUAAUGAUUCAUAGGGACGGUCGGGGGCAUCAGUAUUCAGUUGUCAGAGGUGAAAUUCUUAGAUUUACUGAAGACUAACUACUGCGAAAGCAUUUGCCAAGGACGUUUUCAUUAAUCAAGAACGAAAGUUAGGGGAUCGAAGAGAUCUAGAUACCGUACGACUAUCC
This 477-nucleotide ribosomal RNA is filed under the name Meyerozyma guilliermondii. RNAcentral's name for it is "SSU rRNA". It matches the Rfam family "Eukaryotic small subunit ribosomal RNA", at positions 545 to 1031 of the family's 1831-position model. Lineage: Eukaryota; Fungi; Ascomycota; Pichiomycetes; Serinales; Debaryomycetaceae. The record is from RNAcentral.